Molecule: ribosomal RNA, 464 nt
Filed under: uncultured Klebsiella sp.
Lineage: Bacteria; Pseudomonadati; Pseudomonadota; Gammaproteobacteria; Enterobacterales; Enterobacteriaceae
Description: bacterial SSU rRNA
Rfam family: Bacterial small subunit ribosomal RNA
Source: RNAcentral
CCUACGGGAGGUGCAGUGGGGAAUAUUGCACAAUGGGCGCAAGCCUGAUGCAGCCAUGCCGCGUGUGUGAAGAAGGCCUUCGGGUUGUAAAGCACUUUCAGCGGGGAGGAAGGCGGUGAGGUUAAUAACCUCAUCGAUUGACGUUACCCGCAGAAGAAGCACCGGCUAACUCCGUGCCAGCAGCCGCGGUAAUACGGAGGGUGCAAGCGUUAAUCGGAAUUACUGGGCGUAAAGCGCACGCAGGCGGUCUGUCAAGUCGGAUGUGAAAUCCCCGGGCUCAACCUGGGAACUGCAUUCGAAACUGGCAGGCUAGAGUCUUGUAGAGGGGGGUAGAAUUCCAGGUGUAGCGGUGAAAUGCGUAGAGAUCUGGAGGAAUACCGGUGGCGAAGGCGGCCCCCUGGACAAAGACUGACGCUCAGGUGCGAAAGCGUGGGGAGCAAACAGGAUUAGAUACCCCUAUAGUC